UCAGUGAAGAAAAGAAGAGAAAGAAAAAGUAUGAAAGUCAGGCAGCAAAGCAGCAUACCUAAAGCAUUACUGAAGAUGACACAGCAACAGAGGGAACAAAGUUACAGAGUUACUGCUACAGUGCAUUAUGUUAGAGGUCCCUGGUGGCAAAGGUCUUGCGAAGGUACCAUGUGGAAAACUGAGUGGGAGUCUCAUCUGCAAUAUAUCUGGUGGCUUCAGCCAUAUAAUGUUUCCCAAACGUGAUCAUAUUUGUCAGCAUCAAAGAAGUGUGCUGAGACUACUGAGGAAAGCAGCCCUUCCAAAAAAUCACUCAACAGCCAUAUCCGGGAAAAUGUUGACUGAACAACUCCUCACUGCUGUGGUUUACUUCACUGAAGUACAACAAUAUUUUUUUAAAGGUGUCUGUUCCUGAAAAGGUAGGCUUUUCACAGUGACGAUGCUGGUGUUGAGUCAGCACCUGAAAUAUGUUUAGCUUUGUGUGCUAGGGCUAUUUAGCAGCACUCAUAAGUUUAAUAUGGACAUUUAUUGAGCAAUUUAUUUUCUGUCCUCUGUGCACAGGAUAGAGCCACCAGCAGGCACCAGUUGUAUCAACCACUUCAACUGGCAAAGCAGCUGCAUGUUCUUUAUGAAAGGUCAGUUGACUGGAUGCUAUCUUUUCUGCGUUAUCAAAGCAGUACAGAAAUACCAGAGUACCAAUGAAUUAUGCUCGAUUUCCAGUCUCUCAAAUCUCAGCAUAAGAAAUUAGAAAAAGGCUGGGGGUUAAAUCCCAACCUGUAACUGUGUAGCCCUCCAAUAUUGUACUGCCAUUGCUAGUAACAGGCCAUAAGUUUACAGAGUUUGCAAAGCCUGAGGAAUAAGGCUUAUCAGAUGGGCUCUCUCUAAACUUGACUUGGCCUACCUGCGAUUUUAUUUUCCUUGGUUACGCUGUAAUAGCAAUUUCUCUAAUUGAUCAGAUGUCUCUAGCUAAUUUGUUUUAUUUUUGUUAUCUUUGUAUGGUACAAUCAUAGCCUAUAUAGAUAACAAUGAGCAUUUUUCUUUUUUUAAUGUAGAAGGAGAUAUUCAUGACUUUAUCAUAAUGAAGUAUUGUAGAGAAAUAUAAGCCUGAUAUGAUACCAGAGGCCUUGAGAAGUGGGGACAUAGGAUGUGGCAUAAAGGAGUGCAAGUGUGGGAUGACUAGAGAUGGGGCACAGGCUGGCACUGGAGACCCCACAGCUAUAAAAACUCAACCACCAUCAGUUACAGAAAUGCAUACCUGGAGCUAAGCAAAAUUGUUUUUAUGAGUAACAGAGAAAAUAGUAACAGUAUCUAACAUAAGUAAAAGGCAUCAUGUAUAGUAAAUUUAGAUGUAACAUGGAGGUAUGGAACAAUGAAGAAAGAGAAAGGUAUAAAAAGUAUGUUACCAAACAUAAAAGUAACCCCAAGUGGAGUCAGGAAGAAGAAACCAUCAACAUAAACAUUAUAUUCCUCCUCACGAAGGACUGCUGAUGCUGAUGCCUUGCCACAACACCCUCACUACCACCACCAGAAUGAAACUGGUAAACUUAGGACCCCGCAGAACAGAGGAAGGGCUGAGCAUAAAAGAGAGAAGAUAUUAAAUGAAGGAGAAGGUGUAGAAAAUAAAAAGUGUGCAUAUACCA
Molecule: long non-coding RNA, 1637 nt
Filed under: Struthio camelus australis
Lineage: Eukaryota; Metazoa; Chordata; Aves; Struthioniformes; Struthionidae
Description: lncRNA (ENSSCUG00000003914.1)
Source: RNAcentral